RNAcentral lists this ribosomal RNA (515 nucleotides) under uncultured bacterium. RNAcentral's name for it is "partial 16S ribosomal RNA". It matches the Rfam family "Bacterial small subunit ribosomal RNA", at positions 28 to 523 of the family's 1533-position model. The record is from RNAcentral.
GAUGAACGCUGGCGGCGUGCCUAAUACAUGCAAGUCGAGCGAAUGGAUUAAGAGCUUGCUCUUAUGAAGUUAGCGGCGGACGGGUGAGUAACACGUGGGUAACCUGCCCAUAAGACUGGGAUAACUCCGGGAAACCGGGGCUAAUACCGGCUAACAUUUUGAACCGCAUGGUUCGAAAUUGAAAGGCGGCUUCGGCUGUCACUUAUUGAUGGACCCGCGUCGCAUUAGCUAGUUGGGGAGGUAACGGCUCACCAAGGCAACGAUGCGUAGCCGACCUGAGAGGGUGAUCGGCCACACUGGGACUGAGACACGGCCCAGACUCCUACGGGAGGCAGCAGUAGGGAAUCUUCCGCAAUGGACGAAAGUCUGACGGAGCAACGCCGCGUGAGUGAUGAAGGCUUUCGGGUCGUAAAACUCUGUUGUUAGGGAAGAGCAAGUGCUAGUUGAAUAAGCUGGCACCUUGACGGUACCUAACCAGAAAGCCACGGCUAACUGCGUGCCAGCAGCCGCGGUAA